AGAGUUUGAUUCUGGCUCAGGAUGAACGCUAGCGAUAGGCUUAACACAUGCAAGUCGAGGGGUAACGUGUUGGAAGCUUGCUUCCGAUGACGACGACCGGCGGAUGGGUGCGUAACGCGUAUGCAACUUGCCUCACAGAGGAGAAUAACCCGGAGAAAUCCGGACUAAUGCUCCAUACACUCUUUAGCACGCCUGUGCGUAAGAGGAAAGAUUUAUCGCUGUGAGAUAGGCAUGCGUCCUAUUAGGUAGUUGGUGAGGUAACGGCUCACCAAGCCGACGAUAGGUAGGGGUGCUGAGAGGCAGAUCCCCCACAUUGGGACUGAGACACGGCCCAA
RNAcentral lists this ribosomal RNA (335 nucleotides) under uncultured bacterium. Its description in RNAcentral is "bacterial SSU rRNA". It matches the Rfam family "Bacterial small subunit ribosomal RNA", at positions 8 to 334 of the family's 1533-position model. The record is from RNAcentral.